Molecule: non-coding RNA, 556 nt
Organism: Salvelinus sp. IW2-2015
Lineage: Eukaryota; Metazoa; Chordata; Actinopteri; Salmoniformes; Salmonidae
Source: RefSeq, a predicted model, not a curated record
GAUUGACAGAAAGAGAGAGUUCGAUUGAGCUGGGCCUUGAUGAGCUGAUGGAGCUGACGGCUCAGAGCCUGAGCCACCUAGAGAUUAAAGAGCACUUCAACAUCAUCAAGGAAACCGUCCGGGGGGAGUGUGACAAGGUGCUGCUGGUCACCCAUCGCUGCAGGGGAACACCGAGGGCUCUGAAGGUGAUGCCAAAAGCCUCCACCAAGCUCCGGGGAUUCCUACAGGAGUAUUGCAUCUCCUUGCACCUGUCCUGCCACUCCUGUAUUGUGGGUCUCUUCGGAAUCACCUUCCAAUCCAAUGAGCACUAAGGCUUUGCCCAGGAGCUUGUUAUUGGGAGGGACCUUUUUGCCGUCAUCGAAGAGAAAGUAGGUAUCCCAGAGUGUGCUGUGUCCUUCAGAUCACCAGUGCCCUGGAGUUCAUCCACGAGCAUGGUCUGGUCCACCGCGACAUCAAGCCUGAGAACAUCCUGCUGCUGGACAGCCACUGCUGCUGGGUUAGUGCAUUUGGAAAGUAUACAGACCCCUUCCCCUUUCCCACAUUUUGUUACAGCCUU